Molecule: ribosomal RNA, 506 nt
Filed under: uncultured bacterium
Lineage: Bacteria
Description: partial 16S ribosomal RNA
Rfam family: Bacterial small subunit ribosomal RNA
Source: RNAcentral
AGUGAACGCUGGCGGUAGGCCUAACACAUGCAAGUCGAACGGCAGCACAGAGGAGCUUGCUCCUUGGGUGGCGAGUGGCGGACGGGUGAGGAAUGCAUCGGAAUCUACCCUGUCGUGGGGGAUAACGUAGGGAAACUUACGCUAAUACCGCAUACGACCUACGGGUGAAAGCAGGGGACCUUCGGGCCUUGCGCGAUUGAAUGAGCCGAUGUCGGAUUAGCUAGUUGGCGGGGUAAAGGCCCACCAAGGCGACGAUCCGUAGCUGGUCUGAGAGGAUGAUCAGCCACACUGGAACUGAGACACGGUCCAGACUCCUACGGGAGGCAGCAGUGGGGAAUAUUGGACAAUGGGCGCAAGCCUGAUCCAGCCAUACCGCGUGGGUGAAGAAGGCCUUCGGGUUGUAAAGCCCUUUUGUUGGGAAAGAAAUCCAGCUGGCUAAUACCCGGUUGGGAUGACGGUACCCAAAGAAUAAGCACCGGCUAACUUCGUGCCAGCAGCCGCCGUCG